RNAcentral lists this ribosomal RNA (311 nucleotides) under Fusarium proliferatum. Its description in RNAcentral is "eukaryotic LSU rRNA". The stretch from base 1 to 105 matches the Rfam family "5.8S ribosomal RNA", at positions 50 to 154 of the family's 154-position model. The record is from RNAcentral. Lineage: Eukaryota; Fungi; Ascomycota; Sordariomycetes; Hypocreales; Nectriaceae.
AAAAUGCGAUAAGUAAUGUGAAUUGCAGAAUUCAGUGAAUCAUCGAAUCUUUGAACGCACAUUGCGCCCGCCAGUAUUCUGGCGGGCAUGCCUGUUCGAGCGUCAUUUCAACCCUCAAGCCCCCGGGUUUGGUGUUGGGGAUCGGCGAGCCCUUGCGGCAAGCCGGCCCCGAAAUCUAGUGGCGGUCUCGCUGCAGCUUCCAUUGCGUAGUAGUAAAACCCUCGCAACUGGUACGCGGCGCGGCCAAGCCGUUAAACCCCCAACUUCUGAAUGUUGACCUCGAAUCAGGUAGGAAUACCCGCUGAACUUAA